AACGAACGCUGGCGGCAUGCCUAAUACAUGCAAGUCGAACGAGAUCUUCCUAUCUAGUGGCGCACGUGUGCGUAACGCCUGGUAAUCUGCCCUUGGGUUCCGUAUCCCUUCUGGUAACGGAAGCUAAUACCGGUUGGUGACGUAAGUCCAAAGAUUUGUCGCCCAAGGAUGGGCCCGCGUAGGUUUCGGUAGUUGGUGAGGUAAAGGCUCGUCAAGCCGACGAUCCUUAGCUGGUUUGAUAGGAUGAUCAGCCACACUGGGACUGCGACACGGCCCAGACCCCUAGGCAGGGCAGCAGAAGGGAAUAUUGGGGGAUGAGCGAAAGCGUGAUACAGCAGUGCGGCGUGAGAGAUGAAGGGCUUAGGGUUCUAAAGCUCUUUGACCCGAGAUGAUAAUGACGGUACCGGGAAAAGAAGCACCGGCUAACUACGUG
This 433-nucleotide ribosomal RNA is filed under the name uncultured bacterium. RNAcentral describes it as "partial 16S ribosomal RNA". It matches the Rfam family "Bacterial small subunit ribosomal RNA", at positions 29 to 507 of the family's 1533-position model. The record is from RNAcentral.